Long non-coding RNA from Tympanuchus pallidicinctus (lesser prairie-chicken), 903 nucleotides. RefSeq lists it as uncharacterized. The record is from RefSeq and is a predicted model, not a curated record. Lineage: Eukaryota; Metazoa; Chordata; Aves; Galliformes; Phasianidae. The transcript is spliced from 2 exons.
UAGGCAAACAGUUUUAUUUCUAUAUCGACAUGCCUGGAUUUGAUAAGGUCAGCUAUGAGCUGUGUAGUCUGUCUAACUUAUGAUGUAUCUUUCUUGUGUUAUUUGAGAACAUCGUUCACAAUUAGCCUGUUAGAAACGUGCCAAUCAACCCAAUUGUACAUCUUUUCGGGGCUUAGUCAAUGCGGGUAUUAACUGUAGAAAUGAUGGUUAUCUUUCUGUAUUGUUAGUCUUAUUAUUAUAUCUCAGUUUGUCUGCCAGUGCCUGCAGCUCGUUCUUUGCCUUUUUCAGCGCUUAAGAUUCUCUUGGAAUGUCGGCCGACCCCAGGUGCGCCCCGUCGGCAUCCCGGGGCGGGGCCGCCCCGACGCCUCUUAAGCUCCGCCGGAGGCCGCAAGGAGCUGCGAGAGAGCUGCUGCGGUUCGCUGCGUGCGGGAGUGGUCGGCGGUCCUUCGUUCGGUCCUUGCGCCGUUGGGGUGGAAUAGCGGCUGGAGGGAGGUCUCUCCUGAAGAGAGAUUCAGCCCUAAUCGGUGAGCCGUUCCGGUAGCAACGGGACCGCGGAGGAGGCGAGCGCUCUGGAGGCGUUCGGGACCGUCCGCCCGCAGCAAGAGGCCGUCCCGUUCUCGCCGCGCUCCGUUCGGGGCUGGCGCGGAGCUCCCGCCGGGCUCCCCGGGCUUUUCUUCGUCUCCGCUCGGCUGCUGUCUACUUUCGGGGGGGCCGCCGCGCGGUUCCCCGACUCCUAGCGUAGCCGUGGAAUGUUUUCAGCCUUUCCAGGGCUUUGUAGAGAGCGGUUCAGUUUCUGCUGCUCUCAUCGAUGGGAACGAGCGGGACGAGGCCGUAUUCCUGCGGCCUCGGCGGUGCUGGGAGUAAGAAGCAACGCCAAGGGCUGCUAAAACGUGAGCUUUUUUC